AAAUGACAAUUGAGAGAUAGGCAUCUUCAAUUUUUGCCAAAAGGGAUGCUGAGAUGUCUUCUCCUCUCUCAAGGCUUUCAUCCACAAACACAUCUAUAUGGUUUUGGCUCAAUUCUUUUUGGAGAUGGCUGAGAAAACCAUCACGGGUAUCUUUGCCAUAAAAACUAAUGANNNNNNCCGUCAUAUGUCUUCAAUUGAGGGGCAAUGGAAGAACAAGAAAAGGCCAUUAUUACAAAACCAAAGCUAAAUUCUGAGCAAUGAAACAAGUAAGAAAAG
This 276-nucleotide unclassified non-coding RNA is filed under the name Hevea brasiliensis (rubber tree). The record is from RNAcentral. Lineage: Eukaryota; Viridiplantae; Streptophyta; Magnoliopsida; Malpighiales; Euphorbiaceae.